Long non-coding RNA from Leopardus geoffroyi (Geoffroy's cat), 964 nucleotides. RefSeq lists it as uncharacterized. The record is from RefSeq and is a predicted model, not a curated record. Lineage: Eukaryota; Metazoa; Chordata; Mammalia; Carnivora; Felidae. The transcript has 2 exons.
CCCCCGAAAAGCCGAGAUCGGGAGCUCCGAGCUCCCCCAGAGCUGCUUCCCACGCCGUGGCCAACGACGACGGCAGAAACCUGGGAACCUGCUCAGCAGGUCGGAACAGACAGGGGGCUGGUUCCAAGACGCCCGACAAGGAGCUUAAGUGACACCGUCCCCACUGCCACCGUAUAUAGAAGCUGAUGGACUGACCAAGAAAUGAGCCCCACGGGUUCCUGGCCUCCCUCGCUGGAUCCUCUCUCCACGUCAAGGCCUCCUCGUUACCUGGCCAGGAGUCCCCAAAGGGCACCAGCCCAACACUCCACGGUCAUUUUACCCUCUUAUCCCACGGUCAUGGAACAAGACCACAUGUCUGGACUUUGCAAGGUCAAGCUCGAUUUCAAAUACUCUGCCCCUGUAUCCCUGUAAGUUUAUUCUUACCUGUAAGCCCCUGGGUUUCCAUUCCGGAUGCACACAAUAUAACCACCAAGUGACACAAGACCUUCCUGGCCAAUGUGGGAUAGCCAGAGGACGGGGGCAGGCUCUGAACUCCCUGAAAACUGAGUGACGAGGAGCCACCAGCUCACUGUCAGACUGGGGCAAAAAAAAAAAAAAGUAAAUACUGAGCUAAACGUGAGGAAAGAAAAAAAAAAAAAAUAUAUAUAUAUAUAGGUUACAAUUUGCAGCAGGACCCUUUUGUCUGGCCGGAGGCAGGAAGCGGGGUUCAAAGGCAAUAAGGGAGGGUCACUUUGCUGAGACCGUGCUCUCCACACCCCACACCCCCAACUCUGUCACAAUCUUAUUCAUCUUUCAAAGCUGCCCUCACAGGCCACGUCUCCCGUGGGGCUUUCUCAGCGCCUCCCACCCAAAACGAAUCUCCCUCUGUCCUUCCCCAGCCUCUGCUGGUCCCUUUAUUAUAGCCUGUGCGCCCAUAAUUUGUGCACAUCUUAUCUCCUUGACUAAAUGUAAGCUUCGGUUUCAA